RNAcentral lists this RNase P RNA (374 nucleotides) under Flavobacteriales bacterium. RNAcentral describes it as "RNase P RNA component class A". It matches the Rfam family "Bacterial RNase P class A". From Rfam's summary of the family: Ribonuclease P (RNase P) is a ubiquitous endoribonuclease, found in archaea, bacteria and eukarya as well as chloroplasts and mitochondria. Its best characterised activity is the generation of mature 5'-ends of tRNAs by cleaving the 5'-leader elements of precursor-tRNAs. The record is from RNAcentral. Lineage: Bacteria; Pseudomonadati; Bacteroidota; Flavobacteriia; Flavobacteriales.
AAAGCAAAUCGUUCUAUCGCUCUAAACUUGUUUUGGAGAGGAAAGUCCGGGCAGCACAGAGAAUCCGACCUAGCGAAAGCUAGGGUGUUCUAAAAGAGAUUGAGGAAUAACAGCUAGUGCAAUAGAAAAUAGACUACCGUAUUUAUACGGAAAAGCUGAAAAGGUGAGGUAAGAGCUCACCAGUUACAAGAGUAAUUUUGUAAGCUAGGUAAACCUUCGGAGCUGAAAAAUCAAAUAAACCAAGAAUUGAGGGUUUCUCGCCCUUCCGAUAGCUAUCGGAACUUGGAGGGUAGAUUGUUGGAGGAUAAGGGCAACUUUAUUCCUAGAUAAAUGAUAGAACUCGACAGGAUCUGGCUUAUAGAUUUGUAUUUUAA